CAACGCUGUAUAGUGGAUGUCUCGGCUUGGUAUCUGAUGAAGGGCGUGACAAGCUGCGAUAAGCCCCGGGUAGGUGCAAGUAACCUUUGAUCCGGGGAUGCCCCAAUGUGACAUCAUAUAUUAAGUAAUGUUAAUAUACUCCCGUCAGGGAGAGGGAACGUGCUGAAGCGAAGCAUCAUAAUAAGCGCAGGAAAAGAAAGCAAUAGCGAUUCCGUGAGUAACAGCGAGCGAAAACGGAAUAGGUCAAACCGAAUCCGCACGGGAAACUGUGUGGAGAUGUGGAGUACGGACUCGUGUCGAGCCUCCUUGGAGAAGUUGAACCUUUCUGGAAUGUUAGACCGUAGAGGGUGACAGUCCCGUAAACGUAUUCCAAGUGGCUUAUGGCGAGUAUCCUGAGUAGCGCGGGAUAGUUUUUCCGUGCAAAUGUACCUGAUACUAACAGGUAAACCUAAACAUAACCCAAGACCGAUAGCGUAUUAGUACCGUGAGGGAAAGAUGAAAAGCACCCAGGAAUGGUUGUGAAAAGUGCCUGAAACUAUACAGUUAAGACUGAAGCGGUCUGAAAGAGAUAAUGCUCUUCGAAGUCGCCUUGUGUGAACUUGGAGACGAGUGGAGCGGAUCAGGAUUGCUUCUUUAUUCUAGAAACAUUAGCCAGGGAGCUUAUGUUAGUGGCGAGAUUAAGGGGAUCAUCCCCGAAGUCGCAGGGAAACCAAUACACCCGCAAGCCUAUUAUUACACUUAGUUGUGGUUUUACCGGUGCGCCGGUGGAAUUCAACUUUGAAGAGAUAGGUCCAGGGGUGCGGUGUGAAAGCGCCUAUAGUCACUGAUGUAAUGCCCGAAGUCGGACGAUCUAGGCCUGGUCAGGGCGAAGUGCUUCGAAAGGAGCAUGGAGGUCCGAUAUCGUUCUGACGUGCAAUUCGUUGAGUUGAACUGGGUCUAGGCGGAAAAGCCAAAUCUAGUCCGAGGAUGGCUGGUUCCCCUCGAAGCUGCUCAAAGGCAGGCCUCAUACGAGAAUGAUUGUGGUGUAGAGCACUAAUUCGCUUGGUACGGAGAGUAAAAUCUUCGCCGGCCUCUUAAACUCCGAAGCUGCAAUCUUUGUUGACUAUGGGAGACGGCUUACCCGCGGUAAGCGUGGGUGGCGAGAGAGAAACAACUCAGACCUCGGUUAAGGUCCCUAAGUGUAGACUAAGUGUUAAACCGAAUGGCGUCAAUUUUCUAAGACAGCAAAAAGGUAGGCUCAGAAACAGCCACCCUAUAAUGAGUACGUAACAGUUCAUUUGCUAAGAAAAUUGGCCCAGAAAAUGGACGGGGCUCAAGUCUACCACCGAUACCGAGGGGCAUACGCAGUAGUGUGUAUGAUCCGGUAGAGGGGCGUGGGGUUCGAGAUAAAGUAGGGCUGUAAAGUCCUAUGAAUCGUUCUCCAGUGCAGAUCCUGGCAGUAGUAACAGCUUAGAUACGUGAAAAUCGUAUCCGCCGAAAGGUCAAGGGUUUCUUGGCAAUACGUCGUUAGCCAAGAGUUAGUCGUUCCUAAGCUCAUUCUUAACCGUCUUGAGCGAAAGGGAAACAGAUUUAUAUUUCUGUACUUGGAAGGUAGGUAUUCGGUGACGAACGACUGAUUUGUGACGGAAGAAGAUAGCUCAGGCAGGACUGUCGUUCCUGUUUAAAUGUAUACAUCUGGGGUGUGCCUUUGCGGCGAGAACCAGAUUAAAGCAUGAAUAGCCACCUUAUUGUGGGAGGUCUGAGGCGACUCUUAUUCCCACUGAAAAGCAAAUCAGUAACGAACUUUCAAGACGUACCCAGAACCGACACAGGUGUACCUAAGGUGAGAAGCCUAAGGCGUGUGGAAAUACAGAUUGUUAGGGAAAUCGGCAAAAUGGAGCGGAACCUUCGGAAGAACGCUUGCUUGGAAUCUUUGCUUAGGCGAGGGAUUCUAAGUUGCAAUAACUAGUACCACCCGACUGUUAAAUACAAACAUAGCUUUCUGCAAGACCGAAAGGUUGUGUACAGAAAGUGAAUCCUGCCCAGUGCAAGUCAGUCAAUACCCGGUUCAACGGGAAUAAGCUCUUGUAAACGGCGGGAGUAACUAUAACUCUCUUAAGGUAGCCAAAUGCCUUGUCGUAUAAGUAACGACGUGCAUGAACGGAUCAACGCGGUGGUAACUGUCCCAACAUUCUACUCCGUGAACCUACAGGACGGCGAACGGUCCGUCACACACCGUUGGGAAGAGAAGACCCCAUGGAGUUUUACUGCAGCUUGUUCUUGACAUACUCUUUUACAUGCAGAGUGUAGCUGGGAGCGUAGAUAUUGUGCUUUCGGGUGCAAUGGAGCAAUAAUGGAACACCAGCCUUGUAAAGGGGCAUGUCUAACUCGGAAGACGCUUCCGAGGACACGUGCAGGUGGGCAGUUUCGGUGGGGCGCCAGACCUUGGAAAAGAUAUCCAAGGUACCCUAAGGUCAACUCAAACGGGACAGAAAUCCGUUGAAGAGUGGAAAGGCAAAAGUUGGCCUGAUGGGACCCUCGACAGCAAGGGGUCCCGAGACGAAAGUCUGGCUUAACGAUCCUUUACAAUCUUUUAGUAGGUGGUAAAGGUGAUAGAAAAAUUACCCUGGGGGUAACAGAGUUGUCGCAGGCAAGAGUUCAUAUCGACCCUGCGGCUUGCUUCCUCGAUGUCGGCUCUUCCUAUCCUGGACAUGCAGCAAUGUCCAAGGGUGGGGCUGUACGCCCAUUAAAAGGGAACGUGAGCUGGGUUUAGACCGUCGUGAGACAGGUCGGAUUCUAUCUAACGGUGUUGUUGGGAAUUUGAGAGCAGCGUGCGUCCAGUACGAGAGGAACAACGCGCGGUCGCCUCUGGUGAGGGGUUGUUCGACAGAGCAUGCCCCACAGCUACGCGGCAAAUCAUAAAUGCUGAAAGCAUCUAAGCAUGAAGGAUGCCUCGAAACUAGAUUCCCAUUCUUAACUAUUUUAAUAAUUAACUGGCCGGUAAGAGAACCUCUGCGUUGCCGCGUGGAGUAGUAUUGCCGGCAAAGGAUUAUGGGCGGGGGCUGGUGACAGCAACCGCAUGAUUAAGACGAGCUCACCCGUAAAAGACGGGGUAGGUGAGUCAGGCGGUGUAAACACGAAGCUUUUGCGACGUGCGUAGCCGGCCGAUCUCAAUAGAGCGAGU
Molecule: ribosomal RNA, 3163 nt
Filed under: Candidatus Lokiarchaeum ossiferum
Lineage: Archaea; Promethearchaeati; Promethearchaeota; Promethearchaeia; Promethearchaeales; Promethearchaeaceae
Description: 23S ribosomal RNA
Rfam family: Archaeal large subunit ribosomal RNA
Source: RNAcentral